UGCGUAGGCGGAUUAAUAAGUCAGUGGUGAAAACCUGCAGCUUAACUGCAGACCUGCCAUUGAUACUGUUAGUCUUGAGUACGGUCAAGGUAGGCGGAAUGUGUAAUGUAGCGGUGAAAUGCUUAGAUAUUACACAGAACACCGAUUGCGAAGGCAGCUUACUGGGCCAUUACUGACGCUGAGGCACAAAAGCGUGGGGAGCGAACAGGAUUAGAUACCCUGGUAGUCC
This 229-nucleotide ribosomal RNA is filed under the name uncultured bacterium. RNAcentral's name for it is "partial 16S ribosomal RNA". It matches the Rfam family "Bacterial small subunit ribosomal RNA", at positions 568 to 796 of the family's 1533-position model. The record is from RNAcentral.